AACGUACGCUGGCGGCACGCCUAACACAUGCAAGUCGAGCGGGGUAGCAAUACCUAGCGGCAGACGGGUGCGUAACAUGUGGGAAUCUGCCUUUUGGUUCGGAACAACAUGGGGAAACCUGUGCUAAUACCGGAUAAGUCCUAACGGAGAAAGUUUUAAUGCCAAAAGAUGAGCCCGCAUUUGAUUAGCUUGUUGGUGAGGUAAAAGCUCACCAAGGCUAUAAUCAAUAGCUGAUUUGAGAGGAUGAUCAGCCACACUGGGACUGAGAUACGGCCCAGACUCCUACGGGAGGCAGCAGUGGGGAAUCUUGCACAAUGGGCGAAAGCCUGAUGCAGCGAUGCCGCGUGAGUGAAGAAGGCCUUUGGGUUGUAAAGCUCUUUUGUCGGGAAAGAUAAUGACUGUACCCGAAGAAUAAGGUCCGGCUAACUUCGUGCCAGCAGCCGCGGUAAUACGAAGGGACCUAGCGUAGUUCGGAAUUACUGGGCGUAAAGAGUAUGUAGGCGGCUAGAUAAGUUAAUUGUGAAAGCCCAAAGCUUAACUUUGGAACUGCAAUUAAAACUAUUUAGCUAGAGUAUGAUAGAGGAAAGCGGAAUACAUAGUGUAGAGGUGAAAUUCGUAGAUAUUAUGUAGAACACCAGUUG
This 641-nucleotide ribosomal RNA is filed under the name marine bacterium IMCC9052. Its description in RNAcentral is "bacterial SSU rRNA". It matches the Rfam family "Bacterial small subunit ribosomal RNA", at positions 28 to 715 of the family's 1533-position model. The record is from RNAcentral. Lineage: Bacteria; Pseudomonadati; Pseudomonadota; Alphaproteobacteria; Candidatus Pelagibacterales; Candidatus Pelagibacteraceae.